This 988-nucleotide ribosomal RNA is filed under the name Weissella cibaria. RNAcentral's name for it is "bacterial SSU rRNA". It matches the Rfam family "Bacterial small subunit ribosomal RNA", at positions 8 to 949 of the family's 1533-position model. The record is from RNAcentral. Lineage: Bacteria; Bacillati; Bacillota; Bacilli; Lactobacillales; Lactobacillaceae.
AGAGUUUGAUCCUGGCUCAGGAUGAACGCUGGCGGCGUGCCUAAUACAUGCAAGUCGAACGCUUUGUGGUUCAACUGAUUUGAAGAGCUUGCUCAGAUAUGACGAUGGACAUUGCAAAGAGUGGCGAACGGGUGAGUAACACGUGGGAAACCUACCUCUUAGCAGGGGAUAACAUUUGGAAACAGAUGCUAAUACCGUAUAACAAUAGCAACCGCAUGGUUGCUACUUAAAAGAUGGUUCUGCUAUCACUAAGAGAUGGUCCCGCGGUGCAUUAGUUAGUUGGUGAGGUAAUGGCUCACCAAGACGAUGAUGCAUAGCCGAGUUGAGAGACUGAUCGGCCACAAUGGGACUGAGACACGGCCCAUACUCCUACGGGAGGCAGCAGUAGGGAAUCUUCCACAAUGGGCGAAAGCCUGAUGGAGCAACGCCGCGUGUGUGAUGAAGGGUUUCGGCUCGUAAAACACUGUUGUAAGAGAAGAAUGACAUUGAGAGUAACUGUUCAAUGUGUGACGGUAUCUUACCAGAAAGGAACGGCUAAAUACGUGCCAGCAGCCGCGGUAAUACGUAUGUUCCAAGCGUUAUCCGGAUUUAUUGGGCGUAAAGCGAGCGCAGACGGUUAUUUAAGUCUGAAGUGAAAGCCCUCAGCUCAACUGAGGAAUUGCUUUGGAAACUGGAUGACUUGAGUGCAGUAGAGGAAAGUGGAACUCCAUGUGUAGCGGUGAAAUGCGUAGAUAUAUGGAAGAACACCAGUGGCGAAGGCGGCUUUCUGGACUGUAACUGACGUUGAGGCUCGAAAGUGUGGGUAGCAAACAGGAUUAGAUACCCUGGUAGUCCACACCGUAAACGAUGAGUGCUAGGUGUUUGAGGGUUUCCGCCCUUAAGUGCCGCAGCUAACGCAUUAAGCACUCCGCCUGGGGAGUACGACCGCAAGGUUGAAACUCAAAGGAAUUGACGGGGACCCGCACAAGCGGUGGAGCAUGUGGUUUAA